AGUCACGAAGAGGUAGUGUAAGUUCGUCAGUUCCCGGUCCACCUUCCGAUUGGCAGCAGUUAGAUGACGAUGAAGAGGAGGAGGCUCGACUAAUUUUCCUCAAAGACCAGAGAUAUGACUGUUCAGUCUUGAGGGCGCAGGAAAUUAUGGCCUGAAGAGGAGAAAAGGCCAGUUUGAUCUAAAUGUUAGCAGUACAAUUAUAGCAAUGCCAGAAGACAUCACUGAGAGAGAUCUCAAAAAUAUUUCCAAGGGAAGUGGAACGAAAGUAUACGACCAGAGCGUUGGUACUACUGUACUUGUCAUCAGUGCAGAAAUGGAUGUGUCCUCCUUGCCGUAGAUUGUGCAAUUGCUCAAUAUGCAGAAACAGAAAUGGUAAAAGUGCUACUGGAAUUCUCAUCAAUAUUGCAAGGACUACUUAGAGACUGCUGAAAUGAAAUACUGUGAUGGAAUUCAGAAUAUUGUGAUAUAUACUAUAUGUUGAAGUAGGUUACCUGGGUGUGUAGGAUAAUAAUAGUAUCAUUAUGUAGUGUGGAGUUUUGUGUUGUCUGAUGAAUCGUGUAGAGAAGCAAAAGGUCUUGCCCAUCAUUGUUAUUAUUUUAGUUAUUUUGUGGUGGUAAAAAAUCUCCCUUUUGCAGAUAAGCAUUCUUAUAAUUUUCAAUUUCCAGCGUUCCCCCGGUGCACUUUCGAUUCACAAUGAUGACACCUUUCUUGCAGGGUAUGUCAUAAUAUUUAUGGGACAUACUGAUAUACAUAGCAUAAAGUUUCAAAGUUAAAAGCACAUUACUUUGUAACUAUUUCUGCAUGACCUAACGCUUUUAUCAAAACAGUAUCUUCCAUAUUUUCAAAGACAGUUUUGGACAAAAAUGUCUACAGUGGCUGGUUUGUGUUGUAUUUACCAACUGACAUUGAACAGAACUUUAAUGUAUUUACUUAGUUAUUGUGACUUGAGUAAUUAGCUGGUUAGUUUGAGCGAGCCCUUAAAUGAGGUGAAGUUACUGAUGUUCUUAAUUCCAAGUAGGGGGGUAGUGCCAUCAGUGCACCUCACUUGGUUCCCUGUAGACAUUGCUUAGAAUUCUCUGCAGUGUCUCUUCUGCCACUAGCUGUAACUCCUUUCAUUCCUUUUACUGUACCUUCAAUCAUAAAUGUAUCUUCCAUACUUUCCACUCCUUCUUAACAAUUGUUUCAUAGUGCAUCUGCAAAGUUUCCCUCCUGUUGCACCUUUAGAUCCUUUUACUCUCAAUAUCCCUUUCAGCACUGAAUGACUUCAUAGGUCCCAGUGCUUGGCCUUUGUCCUAAAUUUUAUAUGCCAUUCCAUACCAUGUGCCUUUAUUUUUGUUAUACUGUACAUAAUAUGAUAAACAUUUUGCAAUUGCCGCAUAUCAUAUAAUCAUUGCAUUGGCUAACAGACAUAAGACUUGAGCAUUAGUAUUUGCAGCAUCAUUACAUAUUGUCAUCGUCAUCAUCAACAUUCUGACAUCAUCUUUCUAUUCCCCUGUGUUCUGUUUCCCAUAUCUAAACUAACAUCAUUUCCAGGUCUUUGUCUGUCCCCCCUCUCUGUUUUUUUUUGUUUUUUUUUUUUU
Macrobrachium nipponense is the source of this 1580-nucleotide long non-coding RNA. RefSeq lists it as uncharacterized. The record is from RefSeq and is a predicted model, not a curated record. NCBI's taxonomy places the organism in Eukaryota, Metazoa, Arthropoda, Malacostraca, Decapoda, Palaemonidae. The transcript is spliced from 3 exons.